GACGAACGCUGGCGGCGUGCUUAACACAUGCAAGUCGAACGGAAAGGCCCUGCUUUUGUGGGGUGCUCGAGUGGCGAACGGGUGAGUAACACGUGAGUAACCUGCCCUUGACUUUGGGAUAACUUCAGGAAACUGGGGCUAAUACCGGAUAGGAGCUCCUGCUGCAUGGUGGGGGUUGGAAAGUUUCGGCGGUUGGGGAUGGACUCGCGGCUUAUCAGCUUGUUGGUGGGGUAGUGGCUUACCAAGGCUUUGACGGGUAGCCGGCCGGAGAGGGUGACCGGCCACAUGGGGACGGGGAUACGGCCCAGACUCCUACGGGGGGCAGCGGUGGGAAUAUUGCACAAUGGGCGGAAGCCUGAUGCAGCAACGCCGCGUGCGGGAUGACGGCCUUCGGGUUGUAAACCGCUUUCGCCUGUGACGAAGCGUGAGUGACGGUAAUGGGUAAAGAAGCACCGGCUAACUACGUG
RNAcentral lists this ribosomal RNA (467 nucleotides) under uncultured bacterium. RNAcentral describes it as "partial 16S ribosomal RNA". It matches the Rfam family "Bacterial small subunit ribosomal RNA", at positions 28 to 507 of the family's 1533-position model. The record is from RNAcentral.